Molecule: ribosomal RNA, 429 nt
Filed under: bacterium
Lineage: Bacteria
Description: partial 16S ribosomal RNA
Rfam family: Bacterial small subunit ribosomal RNA
Source: RNAcentral
UAGGGUCUCUUCCACAAUGGACGCAAGUCUGAUGGAGCAACGCCGCGUGAGUGAAGAAGGUUUUCGGAUCGUAAAGCUCUGUUGUUGGUGAAGAAGGAUAGAGGCAGUAACUGGUCUUUAUUUGACGGUAAUCAACCAGAAAGUCACGGCUAACUACGUGCCAGCAGCCGCGGUAAUACGUAGGUGGCAAGCGUUGUCCGGAUUUAUUGGGCGGAAAGCGAGCGCAGGCGGAAUGAUAAGUCUGAUGUGAAAGCACACGGCUCAAGCGUGGAACUGCAUCGGAAACUGUCAUUCUUGAGUGCAGAAGAGGAGAGUGGAAUUCCAUGGGUAGCGGUGGAAUGCGUAGAUAUAUGGAAGAACACCAGUGGCGAAGGCGGCGCUCUGGUCUGCAACUGACGCUGAGUCUCGAAAGCAUGGGUAGCGAACAGG